GAUAAACGCUGGCGGCGCACAUAAGACAUGCAAGUCGAACGGAAGUCGUUGUAAUGAAAUAGAAACGGACAGAGAACUUGUUCGAAGAAAGUGGAAGUAGACUUACAACAAUGGCUUUAGUGGCGGACUGGUGAGUAACGCGUAAGGAACCUGCCUUCUAGAGGGGAAUAACAAUGAGAAAUCAUUGCUAAUACCGCAUAUGCCGAGAGAAUCACAUGGUACAAUCGGGAAAAGAGUAAUCUGCUAGAAGAUGGCCUUGCGUCUGAUUAGAUAGUUGGUGGGGUAACGGCCUACCAAGUCGACGAUCAGUAGCCGGACUGAGAGGUUGAACGGCCACAUUGGGACUGAGAUACGGCCCAGACUCCUACGGGAGGCAGCAGUCGGGAAUAUUGCGCAAUGGAGGAAACUCUGACGCAGUGACGCCGCGUAUAGGAAGAAGGUUUUCGGAUUGUAAACUAUUGUCGUUAGGGAAGAGAAAGGACAGUACCUAAGGAGGAAGCUCCGGCUAACUACGUGCCAGCAGCCGCGGUAAUACGUAGGGAGCGAGCGUUAUCCGGAAUUAUUGGGUGUAAAGGGUGCGUAGACGGGAAGAUAAGUUAGUUGUGAAAUCCCUCGGCUUAACUGAGGAACUGCAACUAAAACUGUUUUUCUUAAGUGCAGGAGAGGUAAGUGGAAUUCCUAGUGUAGCGGUGAAAUGCGUAGAUAUUAGGAGGAACACCAGUGGCGAAGGCGACUUACUGGACUGUAACUGACGUUGAGGCACGAAAGUGUGGGGAGCAAACAGGAUUAGAUACCCUGGUAGUCCACACCGUAAACGAUGGUACUGGGUGUAGGAGAUAUUAAGUCUUCUGUGCCGUCGCAAACGCAGUAAGUAUCCCCCCGGGGGAGUACGGCCGCAAGGAUGAAGCUCAAAGGAAAUUGACGGGGGCCCGCACAAGCAGUGGAGUAUGUGGUUUAAUUUGUCGCAACGCGAAGAACCUUACCAAGUCUUGACAUCCCUUGACGAUGGUGGAAACAGUAUUUCUUUUCUGAGCAAGGAGACAGGUGGUGCAUGGUUGUCGUCAGCUCGUGUCGUGAGAUGUUGGGUUAAGUCCCGCAACGAGCGCAACCCUCAUGGUCGGUUAUUACGCAAGAGGACUCCGGCCAGACUGCCGUUGACAAAACGGAGGAAGGUGGGGAGGACGUCAAAUCAUCAUGCCCCCUAUGACUUGGGCUACACACGUACUACAAUGGCGUUAAACAAAGAGAAGCAAGACCGCGAGGUGGAGCAAAACUCAGAAACAACGUCCCAGUUCGGACUGCAGGCUGCAACUCGCCUGCACGAAGUCGGAAUUGCUAGUAAUCGCAGAUCAGCAUGCUGCGGUGAAUAAAAUCCCGGGCCUUGCACA
This 1388-nucleotide ribosomal RNA is filed under the name uncultured bacterium. Its description in RNAcentral is "bacterial SSU rRNA". It matches the Rfam family "Bacterial small subunit ribosomal RNA", at positions 28 to 1387 of the family's 1533-position model. The record is from RNAcentral.